Ovis aries (sheep) is the source of this 71-nucleotide transfer RNA. It matches the Rfam family "tRNA". From Rfam's summary of the family: Transfer RNA (tRNA) molecules are approximately 80 nucleotides in length. Their secondary structure includes four short double-helical elements and three loops (D, anti-codon, and T loops). Further hydrogen bonds mediate the characteristic L-shaped molecular structure. tRNAs have two regions of fundamental functional importance: the anti-codon, which is responsible for specific mRNA codon recognition, and the 3' end, to which the tRNAs corresponding amino acid is attached (by aminoacyl-tRNA synthetases). tRNAs cope with the degeneracy of the genetic code in two manners: having more than one tRNA (with a specific anti-codon) for a particular amino acid; and 'wobble' base-pairing, i.e. permitting non-standard base-pairing at the 3rd anti-codon position. The record is from Rfam. NCBI's taxonomy places the organism in Eukaryota, Metazoa, Chordata, Mammalia, Artiodactyla, Bovidae.
UCCCUGGUGGUACAGUAGAUAAGCAUCUGCCUGGAAUGCAGGGGACACGGGUUCGAUUCCUGGCCCGGGAA